RNAcentral lists this ribosomal RNA (443 nucleotides) under uncultured bacterium. RNAcentral's name for it is "partial 16S ribosomal RNA". It matches the Rfam family "Bacterial small subunit ribosomal RNA", at positions 338 to 795 of the family's 1533-position model. The record is from RNAcentral.
CCUACGGGUGGCAGCAGUGGGGAAUAUUUGUCACUGGGCGCAAGCCUGACCCAGCAACGCCGCGUGAAGGAAGAAGGCUUUCGGGUUGUACACUUCUUUUCUGAGGGACGAAGCAAGUGACGGUACCUCAGUAAUAAGCCACGUCUAACUACGUGCCAGCAGCCGCGGUAAUACCUAGGUGGCAAGCGUUAUCCGGCUUUAUUGGGUGUAAAGGGCGUGUAGGCGGGAAAGCAAGUCAGAUGUGAAAACUCAGGGGUCAAACCUGGUCCUGCAUUUGAAACUGUUUUUCUUGAGUGCUGGAGAGGGAAGCGGAAUGCGGGGUGUAGCGGUGAAAUGCGUAGAUAUACGGAGGAACACCAGUGGCGAAGGCGGAUUGCUGGACAGUAACUGACGCUGAGGCGCGAAAGCGUGGGGAGCAAACAGGAUUAGAUACCCGGGUAGUC